GACGAACGCUGGCGGCGUGCUUAACACAUGCAAGUCGAACGGAAAGGCCCUGCUUUUGUGGGGUGCUCGAGUGGCGAACGGGUGGGUAACACGUGAGUAACCUGCCCUUGACUUUGGGAUAACUUCAGGAAACUGGGGCUAAUACCGGAUAGGAGCUCCUGCUGCAUGGUGGGGGGUGGAAAGGUUCGGCGGUUGGGGAUGGACUCGCGGCUUAUCAGCUUGUUGGUGGGGUAGUGGCUUACCAAGGCUUUGACGGGUAGCCGGCCUGAGAGGGUGACCGGCCACAUUGGGACUGAGAUACGGCCCAGACUCCUACGGGAGGCAGCAGUGGGGAAUAUUGCACAAUGGGCGGAAGCCUGAUGCAGCAACGCCGCGUGCGGGAUGACGGCCUUCGGGUUGUAAACCACUUUCGCCUGUGACGAAGCGUGAGUGACGGUAAUGGGUAAAGAAGCACCGGCUAACUACGUG
This 468-nucleotide ribosomal RNA is filed under the name uncultured bacterium. RNAcentral's name for it is "partial 16S ribosomal RNA". It matches the Rfam family "Bacterial small subunit ribosomal RNA", at positions 28 to 507 of the family's 1533-position model. The record is from RNAcentral.